GCCGGAGUAGCUUAGAGGUAAAGCACUCCCUUGGUAAGGGAAAGACCGAGAGUUCGAUUCUCUCCUCCGGCU
RNAcentral lists this transfer RNA (72 nucleotides) under Candidatus Tayloriibacteriota bacterium. RNAcentral's name for it is "tRNA-Thr". It matches the Rfam family "tRNA". Rfam says of the family: Transfer RNA (tRNA) molecules are approximately 80 nucleotides in length. Their secondary structure includes four short double-helical elements and three loops (D, anti-codon, and T loops). The record is from RNAcentral. Lineage: Bacteria; Candidatus Tayloriibacteriota.